RNAcentral lists this ribosomal RNA (158 nucleotides) under Beauveria bassiana. RNAcentral describes it as "5.8S ribosomal RNA". It matches the Rfam family "5.8S ribosomal RNA". From Rfam's summary of the family: 5.8S ribosomal RNA (5.8S rRNA) is a component of the large subunit of the eukaryotic ribosome. It is transcribed by RNA polymerase I as part of the 45S precursor that also contains 18S and 28S rRNA. Functionally, it is thought that 5.8S rRNA may be involved in ribosome translocation. Lineage: Eukaryota; Fungi; Ascomycota; Sordariomycetes; Hypocreales; Cordycipitaceae. The record is from RNAcentral.
AAAUUAAAACUUUCAACAACGGAUCUCUUGGCUCUGGCAUCGAUGAAGAACGCAGCGAAAUGCGAUAAGUAAUGUGAAUUGCAGAAUCCAGUGAAUCAUCGAAUCUUUGAACGCACAUUGCGCCCGCCAGCAUUCUGGCGGGCAUGCCUGUUUCGAGC